RNAcentral lists this long non-coding RNA (2144 nucleotides) under Arabidopsis thaliana (thale cress). RNAcentral describes it as "ncRNA (AT1G29785)". Lineage: Eukaryota; Viridiplantae; Streptophyta; Magnoliopsida; Brassicales; Brassicaceae. The record is from RNAcentral.
AACUCGAGAAAGAUCUUGACACUCUUCCCCUUUUCUCUGAGUACACAAAAAAAGAGACAACUUUCUAAAAAUACAGACUCUACUGUGUCAAUGCCGGAAUCUAGCUCAAGCUUCUCGUCUCUCUUUCUUCUACUCAUCAUCUUCUUCCUCCUUUUACUCUCUCCAUCGCUUUCUUCUCCCGAAUCUGAAGUUCAUGUUUUGGAUCGUGAGCUGUUAGAGAUCCAGACGAAUCCGAAGCCGGGCAAGACUAAUAGGAAACUCAAGUGCUGCGAGAUGCGGAGCAGAUCUCAGUGUUCGGCUUUCCCUAGAUGCAGGUGGUGUCGUAGUGAAGCUCUUGAUGACUUGUGCUUCAGUAAAGCUGAAGCCUUGCGACUUCCAAGUCAAGUCUUCCUUUGUGAAUUAUGAAUUAACAGGUUUGAUCUUAAAUAGCUUGUUGUAGUUCUUGCGGAGUUUCGAUGGAGAUAGAGAGAAAGUUGUUUUCUUUCUAAUUUUUUUGGCUUGUAUUGAAUCGCUUGUUCCGUUUUGUAAUCUCUGUUUGGUGUUAUUGUUGUAAUUGUUUUUGAGUGUCACAAGUUUUGAAUUGUACUGGAUCUUUUUGCUCAUAUCUAUUGAAAGGUGCUUCAUUUUGUGUUUCUUUCUUGUUAUGUUUUGAUUUUGAGCUAUUCACUUUAGCUACCAUGCUCUCAAAUGAAUCGAUCAUACUGUAUGAUUCUUGACUUGCAACAUUGUUAGAGAAAUGGAAAUAAGUGUUGUUGAUAUCUAGAAUUUUCAAUUGAGCUGAAUAUAUCAAGUACUUUACUUCUCUAAUUUUUGUGUGAGUAGAAGACUAAAGUAAUGUUGGUGUUUCAUAUAGAUAUAAACACAGUGUUUUUAGAUUGUAAACGACAAAAGAACCGCAAAGAAACCAUCAAGCCUUCAGUGGAGUCAAUAGUAUUUGUGUUUAAAAUGCAGCUUUUUAGUAUCAAGUGGUUCACUGAUUGGUACCUUGGUAUGUGUUCGUAUUAGAAAUGUUAUGGCUUGUCUGGUUUAGUGGAUUUAUAUUUGUGUUUUAGAAUUGUUCUACCCGUCACUGCCGGUUUUGGAAGUUAGGAGCUGCUAAGGCCAGAAUGAGCAAAGAUCUACUUAAAGGCGUCUUUUAGUGAAAAGCUUAUGAUCUAGGUAUAUGCAACAUUGAAGAAGGAUGCAUCCCUUUUCAACGCAAAAAACGGAUUACUAUAUGUAUAAUCAUCUUUCCCUUAUCCCCCUAAAAAACGUCGAAGAAAAGGAAAAACAGAUCUGGAAAUAAAGACAUAUGCACAUUAAGCCAGCUAGUUUGCGAGCAAAUCCGUGACUGCAUCCCUCAUAUCUUCAUAUGCGUAACAGCUUUCGAGAAACUCCACAAGAUUCAACAGUUCUUGAUCUUUCAGGUCAUCCACAAAAGCCUUUAUAGGCACUCCAUUCUCUGGCUGUAAUGAGUAAGAAGAUGGAUUGUCAUCGACAAUCAAAGCACUUCUGAGGUCUUUCCCCACUACCAAAGAUAAGUCCUUUACAUAUUUCCCGUUCACCUCCGUGCAUGAGUCUCGAUAUAGCCGCUGUGAGAUCACACCGUUCUUGUCUAGCUUGUCCAAAACCUGUGAAGCAUAUUCUUCCAGACCAGCUGUGAAAACUACCACUUUGUAGUUUUCACCAAGUCUUUCCAAGAAUUCAGUCACACCAGGACGUUUCACCACAAAGAUUGGCAUUAUCUCCCUUUCCAUUUUCACCAUCACCAUGAAAUCAUGUUUAACUCCCGGAAGAUGUGUUGUUGCGUGAACCAACGUUUCAUCAAGAUCGAGGAUGAUUGUCCUUUUCAUGUUGGUAUAUCCUGUCAGAGGGUCCUCGAGUUUCUCAAAUUUUGUAUAGCCAUGUUUUGUGGCUGGAUAGCUGAUGGUGAUGCCCGUGAAGCACCUGGAAACACAACGCAGAAGGCGACAAUGAAACUUCAAGAUGGACAUUAAUGGGUAAUUUUUCUGUUGGUGUUUGUGGAACUUGGAAUUUUCUGGGGUUUUUUCGAUGAUUCUUUCAGAUGCCAUUGAUUUCUCACGGUUGCUUGGUUCCCCAAUGAAGAAAACAAGUUUUGGUGAACAAAAUAGGCUUGCAGCUCUUCAGACGAAAGGCUUGGUAGU